GUUACGACCUUUGGUCCUGCCAGCCUUGAUUGUCAAGGAAACAGGACAGGUGGAUGACACCGAUAGUGGAAAUUGAGGUUAAAUGAGCGCUCCAAAGUCACUGGGCUGGAACCAACAAGACUGGGCCAGGUCCUUCCCUUUGCUAGACUGAGGGUGCUUUCCCCGGAAUUCUCUGGUGAUCUCUGUAGCCGGGCGGGAGCUCCCCCAUGUUGUUGGCAGGGCUCUCCCAGCCUGGUGCACACAGGCCUCAGCAGGUCCGUCAGGCGUGAGAGCAGUUGGUCCCUCUGCAGGCGCUUGGUGAGGAAAGGCUCUGGGCGCCUGGUGGGUGACAGGUUCUGCUGGACUAAGGCAAGGGUUAGAGAGCUGUGAGGGGCUGGAACUCCUAGUGGCUUCAUCCCUCAUCUCCUGGGCAAUGUGGUUUUCUUGUGGGGCUAUAGGGACAGCCAAGCCCAGG
RNAcentral lists this long non-coding RNA (454 nucleotides) under Marmota monax (woodchuck). Lineage: Eukaryota; Metazoa; Chordata; Mammalia; Rodentia; Sciuridae. The record is from RNAcentral.